Molecule: ribosomal RNA, 414 nt
Filed under: Rhizobium leguminosarum
Lineage: Bacteria; Pseudomonadati; Pseudomonadota; Alphaproteobacteria; Hyphomicrobiales; Rhizobiaceae
Description: bacterial SSU rRNA
Rfam family: Bacterial small subunit ribosomal RNA
Source: RNAcentral
UUUGAAACCUGGCUCAGAACGAACGCUGGCGGCAGGCUUAACACAUGCAAGUCGAGCGCCCCGCAAGGGGAGCGGCAGACGGGUGAGUAACGCGUGGGAAUCUACCCUUGACUACGGAAUAACGCAGGGAAACUUGUGCUAAUACCGUAUGUGUCCUUCGGGAGAAAGAUUUAUCGGUCAAGGAUGAGCCCGCGUUGGAUUAGCUAGUUGGUGGGGUAAAGGCCUACCAAGGCGACGAUCCAUAGCUGGUCUGAGAGGAUGAUCAGCCACAUUGGGACUGAGACACGGCCCAAACUCCUACGGGAGGCAGCAGUGGGGAAUAUUGGACAAUGGGCGCAAGCCUGAUCCAGCCAUGCCGCGUGAGUGAUGAAGGCCCUAGGGUUGUAAAGCUCUUUCACCGGAGAAGAUAAUGAC